UACGAAGGGUGCAAGCGUUAAUCGGAAUUACUGGGCGUAAAGGGUGCGUAGGCGGUUCGUUAAGUCUGUCGUGAAAGCCCCGGGCUCAACCUGGGAAUUGCGCGCGAAAACGGGGGGGGCUUGAGUUCGGGAGAGGAGCGUGGAAUUCCCAGUGUAGAGGUGAAAUUCGUAGAUAUUGGGAAGAACACCGGUGGCGAAGGCGGCGCUCUGGACCGAGACUGACGCUGAGGCGCGAAAAGCAUGGGGAGCGAACAGG
RNAcentral lists this ribosomal RNA (256 nucleotides) under uncultured bacterium. RNAcentral's name for it is "partial 16S ribosomal RNA". It matches the Rfam family "Bacterial small subunit ribosomal RNA", at positions 524 to 776 of the family's 1533-position model. The record is from RNAcentral.